GAGGGUUUGGGGGAGGUGGAGUGUGAGCAUGUCCUAUCCCUUUGACUGGACCCUAAACCUACUUUUUUAAAAAAAGAGAAGGAGAUCCAGAAAGAGACAGGGACCCACUUUAGGCAUUUCAGACUUCCCCCUGGAACCAAAUACCCCAUUGGCCUUCCUCGCUGUUACCAGGAGGGGAAUGGGUAGUUUGCACCCCACCCUCCCUCCAGGCUCUCCCGCCUUUGGGACAUUUUGGGUGCUACUUAGGAGAGCGAGAACUAUGGAGUGUGUGCGGCUCAGGGUGGGGCCACAGGUUGGGAGUGGGUAGGGCCUAUUGUCUUCCCGGGCACCAGUCCACAGCCACAGGCAGGCUUAGAGAAGGAGAGACAAAGGAGAAAAUGGAAGAGCACAAAGGCAGCAAGGAAUGAAAGGAUAACCCCUUCCACCCCUGACAACUCAUAAGCUGCUCCCCUUCUGACACCCAGUUCCAUGUGCAAAAUUCAAGUCUGUUUCAAGUUAACCCAGCAAAGGCACAAUUGAUUCAGAGCUAGAAGAGCCAUUGAGGAUAAUGCCAACGUUAGCCAAACUCUCCUAAAUCACAAAACAAAGGAAGAGGAUCCCGUCAACUUAUUUACACACGAAGAGGACUGUUCAUAAUCCUGCUGAAGAAGAUUAUGAGGGCAAAGUCUUGAGUAGGAAGGACGCUUAAAGGAGCCCCUCAGCCUUUACCGCUGAGCCGAGGAGAUGAGUCAGCUUGGUCCUGCAACUUCCCAGCGUGACCUGGACCUUGCAGCUCUGCAUUGGGGCCCACACUUGCCUCAUCAACCCCCAGCUGAAGAGUAUUUAUUCCACUUCCAGAGGAGCUUGCGUUGUUACCUGCCUGCCGCACCUGCAGCUCUGCGAAGCUGAAGCUGACCUGCCUUGGGCUUGGAGUCCUGCCUUGGGCUUGGAGUCCUGCCUUGGGCUUGGAGUCCUGCCCUGGGCCUGCACUGAGAACCAGGGCCAGGGGCUGGCCUGUUUCCUCAUUUUCUCUCCUUGGGGGACUCUCUUGUGUCCCUGCCCCUGCCCCAGACUUGACUGCAUUUCUCACUCUCCUUGUCACUGCCACCCCUUUUGUCUUUCUGGCCAUCUCAGCCCUGGGCCUCCUACCCUGCUCAGUCCUCCUGGGGACUACAGCCCAGGGUCAGAGAGAAGAACUGUUCAAGCGCAUCCCGGCAGCGGCCUCCAAGCCCAAGUUCAGGAGCCUUCCCAGGCAUGCCCUGGAAAGAAAACCAGGGCAGAAGGAAUGAGUUUCCCUAAAACCAUAUUUAGAUUCCCCAGUGCAGAGAUGAGUGAGAGGGUGGAAGACAGGACCAUGAACUGUUUCAGAUCCACUCUGAAUCCGAGGGUCAGAGUUUCCUACUGGGAAGAAGAAAAAAAAAAAAAAAUCCUCCCUGGUAAACAAUGGAAAAAGAAAAAAUUCUUCUACCCACAAAUAAAUUUCCUAGGGACGUUCUUGGCCAUGGAGAUUAAGUAUAUUAUUAUUUGUGACAAUAAUACACUUCAUAGAGUACUCUAAAAUAUUUUCACUGAUUUCAUUCUGCUCAUCAGCAUGACCUCAUUUGUCUAGAGUGAUGAGACAGGCAGAGAGGAGCUCUGUGUUCUAAAGGAGAGAACU
Bubalus bubalis (water buffalo) is the source of this 1636-nucleotide long non-coding RNA. RefSeq lists it as uncharacterized. The record is from RefSeq and is a predicted model, not a curated record. NCBI's taxonomy places the organism in Eukaryota, Metazoa, Chordata, Mammalia, Artiodactyla, Bovidae. The transcript is spliced from 5 exons.